GGCCGCUGUGGUCUAGUGGUAUGAUUCUCGCUUCGGGUGCGAGAGGUCCCGGGUUCGAUUCCCGGUGCGGCCC
Molecule: transfer RNA, 73 nt
Filed under: Pythium insidiosum
Lineage: Eukaryota; Oomycota; Peronosporomycetes; Pythiales; Pythiaceae
Description: tRNA-Pro
Rfam family: tRNA
About the family: Transfer RNA (tRNA) molecules are approximately 80 nucleotides in length. Their secondary structure includes four short double-helical elements and three loops (D, anti-codon, and T loops).
Source: RNAcentral